GUGCUUGUUUCGGCAGCACAUAUACUAAAAUUGGAACGAUACAGAGAAGAUUAGCAUGGACAUGUAAAAUAAAAGUUACAUGAUGCCUCUGUUU
This 94-nucleotide small nuclear RNA is filed under the name Zalophus californianus (California sea lion). Lineage: Eukaryota; Metazoa; Chordata; Mammalia; Carnivora; Otariidae. The record is from RNAcentral.